Molecule: long non-coding RNA, 200 nt
Filed under: Elaeis guineensis (African oil palm)
Lineage: Eukaryota; Viridiplantae; Streptophyta; Magnoliopsida; Arecales; Arecaceae
Description: long non-coding RNA (EGUI_LNC064101)
Source: RNAcentral
CCCAAUCGAGUUUCUCUAAACCCAAUUAAUACUUCAUAAGCUCAAUUACUAAUUUUAGACCUAAUCUCUUUGUUGUGUGACCCCAUAAGUUUUAUUCUAUCUAGUAGUGACAUAUACAAUGAUCUCUAUCAAAGUAUCAUUGAAACUCUUUUCAAUGAGUCGGAACAAUUCCACUCUAGCUCAUCAAGGAUUAUCGAUCC